Brassica napus (rape) is the source of this 125-nucleotide non-coding RNA. The record is from Rfam. NCBI's taxonomy places the organism in Eukaryota, Viridiplantae, Streptophyta, Magnoliopsida, Brassicales, Brassicaceae.
GUAGUGAAGAAACCGUCUCUUAACUUUUAACUAAGAAAACUAAGAAGCGGCUUUUAAAUAUUUUAUUUAAUAACCGGUUCUUAGUUUUUUUUAGUUAAAAGUUAAGAGACGGUUUUUUAUAUUCC